Molecule: ribosomal RNA, 2903 nt
Filed under: Escherichia coli
Lineage: Bacteria; Pseudomonadati; Pseudomonadota; Gammaproteobacteria; Enterobacterales; Enterobacteriaceae
Description: 23S ribosomal RNA
Rfam family: Bacterial large subunit ribosomal RNA
Source: RNAcentral
GGUUAAGCGACUAAGCGUACACGGUGGAUGCCCUGGCAGUCAGAGGCGAUGAAGGACGUGCUAAUCUGCGAUAAGCGUCGGUAAGGUGAUAUGAACCGUUAUAACCGGCGAUUUCCGAAUGGGGAAACCCAGUGUGUUUCGACACACUAUCAUUAACUGAAUCCAUAGGUUAAUGAGGCGAACCGGGGGAACUGAAACAUCUAAGUACCCCGAGGAAAAGAAAUCAACCGAGAUUCCCCCAGUAGCGGCGAGCGAACGGGGAGCAGCCCAGAGCCUGAAUCAGUGUGUGUGUUAGUGGAAGCGUCUGGAAAGGCGCGCGAUACAGGGUGACAGCCCCGUACACAAAAAUGCACAUGCUGUGAGCUCGAUGAGUAGGGCGGGACACGUGGUAUCCUGUCUGAAUAUGGGGGGACCAUCCUCCAAGGCUAAAUACUCCUGACUGACCGAUAGUGAACCAGUACCGUGAGGGAAAGGCGAAAAGAACCCCGGCGAGGGGAGUGAAAAAGAACCUGAAACCGUGUACGUACAAGCAGUGGGAGCACGCUUAGGCGUGUGACUGCGUACCUUUUGUAUAAUGGGUCAGCGACUUAUAUUCUGUAGCAAGGUUAACCGAAUAGGGGAGCCGAAGGGAAACCGAGUCUUAACUGGGCGUUAAGUUGCAGGGUAUAGACCCGAAACCCGGUGAUCUAGCCAUGGGCAGGUUGAAGGUUGGGUAACACUAACUGGAGGACCGAACCGACUAAUGUUGAAAAAUUAGCGGAUGACUUGUGGCUGGGGGUGAAAGGCCAAUCAAACCGGGAGAUAGCUGGUUCUCCCCGAAAGCUAUUUAGGUAGCGCCUCGUGAAUUCAUCUCCGGGGGUAGAGCACUGUUUCGGCAAGGGGGUCAUCCCGACUUACCAACCCGAUGCAAACUGCGAAUACCGGAGAAUGUUAUCACGGGAGACACACGGCGGGUGCUAACGUCCGUCGUGAAGAGGGAAACAACCCAGACCGCCAGCUAAGGUCCCAAAGUCAUGGUUAAGUGGGAAACGAUGUGGGAAGGCCCAGACAGCCAGGAUGUUGGCUUAGAAGCAGCCAUCAUUUAAAGAAAGCGUAAUAGCUCACUGGUCGAGUCGGCCUGCGCGGAAGAUGUAACGGGGCUAAACCAUGCACCGAAGCUGCGGCAGCGACACUGUGUGUUGUUGGGUAGGGGAGCGUUCUGUAAGCCUGUGAAGGUGUACUGUGAGGUAUGCUGGAGGUAUCAGAAGUGCGAAUGCUGACAUAAGUAACGAUAAAGCGGGUGAAAAGCCCGCUCGCCGGAAGACCAAGGGUUCCUGUCCAACGUUAAUCGGGGCAGGGUGAGUCGACCCCUAAGGCGAGGCCGAAAGGCGUAGUCGAUGGGAAACAGGUUAAUAUUCCUGUACUUGGUGUUACUGCGAAGGGGGGACGGAGAAGGCUAUGUUGGCCGGGCGACGGUUGUCCCGGUUUAAGCGUGUAGGCUGGUUUUCCAGGCAAAUCCGGAAAAUCAAGGCUGAGGCGUGAUGACGAGGCACUACGGUGCUGAAGCAACAAAUGCCCUGCUUCCAGGAAAAGCCUCUAAGCAUCAGGUAACAUCAAAUCGUACCCCAAACCGACACAGGUGGUCAGGUAGAGAAUACCAAGGCGCUUGAGAGAACUCGGGUGAAGGAACUAGGCAAAAUGGUGCCGUAACUUCGGGAGAAGGCACGCUGAUAUGUAGGUGAAGCGACUUGCUCGUGGAGCUGAAAUCAGUCGAAGAUACCAGCUGGCUGCAACUGUUUAUUAAAAACACAGCACUGUGCAAACACGAAAGUGGACGUAUACGGUGUGACGCCUGCCCGGUGCCGGAAGGUUAAUUGAUGGGGUUAGCGCAAGCGAAGCUCUUGAUCGAAGCCCCGGUAAACGGCGGCCGUAACUAUAACGGUCCUAAGGUAGCGAAAUUCCUUGUCGGGUAAGUUCCGACCUGCACGAAUGGCGUAAUGAUGGCCAGGCUGUCUCCACCCGAGACUCAGUGAAAUUGAACUCGCUGUGAAGAUGCAGUGUACCCGCGGCAAGACGGAAAGACCCCGUGAACCUUUACUAUAGCUUGACACUGAACAUUGAGCCUUGAUGUGUAGGAUAGGUGGGAGGCUUUGAAGUGUGGACGCCAGUCUGCAUGGAGCCGACCUUGAAAUACCACCCUUUAAUGUUUGAUGUUCUAACGUUGACCCGUAAUCCGGGUUGCGGACAGUGUCUGGUGGGUAGUUUGACUGGGGCGGUCUCCUCCUAAAGAGUAACGGAGGAGCACGAAGGUUGGCUAAUCCUGGUCGGACAUCAGGAGGUUAGUGCAAUGGCAUAAGCCAGCUUGACUGCGAGCGUGACGGCGCGAGCAGGUGCGAAAGCAGGUCAUAGUGAUCCGGUGGUUCUGAAUGGAAGGGCCAUCGCUCAACGGAUAAAAGGUACUCCGGGGAUAACAGGCUGAUACCGCCCAAGAGUUCAUAUCGACGGCGGUGUUUGGCACCUCGAUGUCGGCUCAUCACAUCCUGGGGCUGAAGUAGGUCCCAAGGGUAUGGCUGUUCGCCAUUUAAAGUGGUACGCGAGCUGGGUUUAGAACGUCGUGAGACAGUUCGGUCCCUAUCUGCCGUGGGCGCUGGAGAACUGAGGGGGGCUGCUCCUAGUACGAGAGGACCGGAGUGGACGCAUCACUGGUGUUCGGGUUGUCAUGCCAAUGGCACUGCCCGGUAGCUAAAUGCGGAAGAGAUAAGUGCUGAAAGCAUCUAAGCACGAAACUUGCCCCGAGAUGAGUUCUCCCUGACUCCUUGAGAGUCCUGAAGGAACGUUGAAGACGACGACGUUGAUAGGCCGGGUGUGUAAGCGCAGCGAUGCGUUGAGCUAACCGGUACUAAUGAACCGUGAGGCUUAACCUU